RNAcentral lists this transfer RNA (68 nucleotides) under Marmota monax (woodchuck). RNAcentral's name for it is "tRNA.Gly". The record is from RNAcentral. Lineage: Eukaryota; Metazoa; Chordata; Mammalia; Rodentia; Sciuridae.
GGAUUGUGGCUCAGCGGUAGAGCCCUCGCCUACCACAUGUGAGUCCCUGAGUUCAAUCCUCAGCACCA